CCAACUAGGCGUCCAUAUAUGCCCCUGGCAUUUCCCUGUACGUUAGCGACGAUCCGCAAGGUAGCGACGAUGUUGGACCAGGUCUGCCGGCGUUCCUUGGCCAGGAUGGCAGCCUGGU
RNAcentral lists this non-coding RNA (118 nucleotides) under unclassified sequences. Its description in RNAcentral is "Flavobacterium-1 RNA". It matches the Rfam family "Flavobacterium-1 RNA". The record is from Rfam by way of RNAcentral.